AUUGAACGCUGGCGGCAGGCUUAACACAUGCAAGUCGAGCGAGCGGCGGACGGGUGAGUAAUGUCUGGGAAACUGCCUGGCGGAGGGGGAUAACUACUGGAAACGGUAGCUAAUACCGCAUACCAUCAGAUGUGCCCAGAUGGGAUUAGCUAGUAGGUGGGGUAAUGGCUCCCCUAGGCGACGAUCCCUAGCUGGUUUGAGAGGAUGACCAGCCACACUAGAACUGAGACACGUGCCAGACUCCUACGGGAGGCAGCAGUGGGGAAUAUUGCACAAUGGGCGCAAGCCUGAUGCAGCCAUGCCGCGUGUGUGCAGAAGGCCUUCGGGUUGUAAAGCACUUUCAGCGAGGAGGCGUUACUCGCAGAAGAAGCACCGGCUAACUCCGUGCCAGCAGCCGCGGUAAUUC
RNAcentral lists this ribosomal RNA (406 nucleotides) under uncultured bacterium. Its description in RNAcentral is "partial 16S ribosomal RNA". It matches the Rfam family "Bacterial small subunit ribosomal RNA", at positions 30 to 526 of the family's 1533-position model. The record is from RNAcentral.